ACGGGUGAGUAACAUAUCGGAACGUGCCCUGGAGUGGGGGAUAACCAGUCGAAAGACUGGCUAAUACCGCAUACGAUCUACGGAUGAAAGUGGGGGAUCGCAAGACCUCAUGCUCGUGGAGCGGCCGAUAUCUGAUUAGCUAGUUGGUGGGGUAAAGGCCCACCAAGGCGACGAUCAGUAGCUGGUCUGAGAGGACGACCAGCCACACUGGGACUGAGACACGGCCCAGACUCCUACGGGAGGCAGCAGUGGGGAAUUUUGGACAAUGGGGGCAACCCUGAUCCAGCAAUGCCGCGUGAGUGAAGAAGGCCUUCGGGUUGUAAAGCUCUUUUGUUCGGAAAGAAAUCGCUCUGGUUAAUACCCGGGGUGGAUGACGGUACCGGAAGAAUAAGCACCGGCUAACUACGUGCCAGCAGCCGCGGUAAUACGUAGGGUGCAAGCGUUAAUCGGAAUUACUGGGCGUAAAGCGUGCGCAGGCGGUUGUGCAAGACAGAUGUGAAAUCCCCGGGCUUAACCUGGGAACUGCAUUUGUGACUGCACGGCUAGAGUGUGUCAGAGGGGGGUAGAAUUCCACGUGUAGCG
This 582-nucleotide ribosomal RNA is filed under the name uncultured bacterium. RNAcentral describes it as "bacterial SSU rRNA". It matches the Rfam family "Bacterial small subunit ribosomal RNA", at positions 102 to 680 of the family's 1533-position model. The record is from RNAcentral.